GGGGACCUUCGGGGCCCUCUCUCGAACCGACGGGUCCCAAGGACCCGCGAAGCACAACGGAAGACAGGAA
This 70-nucleotide non-coding RNA is filed under the name unclassified sequences. RNAcentral's name for it is "L2-Alphaproteobacteria ribosomal protein leader". It matches the Rfam family "L2-Alphaproteobacteria ribosomal protein leader". The record is from RNAcentral.